UCUGUCAUAUUUUAGAAUUUUAUAUACAUGGUAUACAGAUACAGAGAUUAGCAUGGCCCCUGCGCUAGGAUGACACGCAAAUUCGUGAAGUGUUCCAUAUUAAA
This is a small nuclear RNA of Eptesicus fuscus (big brown bat), 104 nucleotides long. The record is from RefSeq and is a predicted model, not a curated record. NCBI's taxonomy places the organism in Eukaryota, Metazoa, Chordata, Mammalia, Chiroptera, Vespertilionidae.